UACGGAGGGAGCUAGCGUUGUUCGGAAUUACUGGGCGUAAAGCGCACGUAGGCGGCUAUUCAAGUCGGGGGUGAAAGCCCGGGGCUCAACCCCGGAACUGCCCUCGAAACUAGAUAGCUAGAAUCUUGGAGAGGCGAGUGGAAUUCCGAGUGUAGAGGUGAAAUUCGUAGAUAUUCGGAAGAACACCAGUGGCGAAGGCGACUCGCUGGACAAGUAUUGACGCUGAGGUGCGAAAAGCGUGGGGAGCAAACAGG
RNAcentral lists this ribosomal RNA (254 nucleotides) under uncultured bacterium. Its description in RNAcentral is "partial 16S ribosomal RNA". It matches the Rfam family "Bacterial small subunit ribosomal RNA", at positions 524 to 776 of the family's 1533-position model. The record is from RNAcentral.